Non-coding RNA from Coffea arabica (coffee), 520 nucleotides. The record is from RefSeq and is a predicted model, not a curated record. Lineage: Eukaryota; Viridiplantae; Streptophyta; Magnoliopsida; Gentianales; Rubiaceae.
UUGCAACUGAGUUCCUUAGAGGCGUGGCGCACAAGGAGGAUGAGGAACUGGAAGAAGAGGAACAUCAGCAGCUGUACGAGGAGGAGGAAGAUGAGGAACAAGACCCAGUGUUUGUUCUGACUGAUGAAUGGAGGGAAUUCUUUGCAAAGUCUGAAGCUAAGAGAAGACUAGCCAAGAAGCAAUCUAGAAAAGAGGGGAAGAAUCGGAUGGAACAAUGAUCAGCAACCAAGAAAUCAUCAGUAGGAGAGCGCUCAAUUUCCGGAGUUGCUAGGUGAUUUUAAGGUCAGGAGUUGGUCGAUGCGUGAUCAAGAUUUCCCCUUUACUUGCUUGUAGCACCACAUUCAUCUUGUUUGUAGAGUAAAAAGUGUUUUGAGUUGUUGACUUGAGGUCCCUCUGUUUUUGAAACAGUUAUUUUGUCCUUCGUUUCCGAGGCUUGGGCAGGGGCGGGGGACUUUUGUAUGAUCAAACAAUAAUGCACCAGUUCAUUUGUUUUGGAACAAUGAUGAAUUCUUCAAUAAAA